CAAUUCUCUACUCUGCCUGAGGGUGGCGCAUACACCCCAGGAAAUGUUCUAAAUAAGAAAAUAAAAACACCUUUCCUCCGGUGAAGACGCUGCUAGAAAGCAUCAAGGACUGGUUGAAAGCUUUGAGAGAACAACUAUGGAAAACUUUUAAGCCGCGUUGACACUGCGAGCUCCUCAAGAUACCUCCGAUUGGUUUUAAGAGAGGGAUAGAUCAUCUGAAUCUGACCCUGGUGGUCAGUGGCGAGCCAACCGCAGAAGUCAGAGAACGGACCAAAAGCCUGGUGUGGCCAGCCGUGGCAUCUUUGGAACCAUCAUCAUCCCGUGCCUCCAUUUGAAAAAACAGAUAAGAACACACAUAAACCUACCCGGGUAGUGAAAAGAACAUACCGUACAUACUCCAAGAAAAACACACACACACACCAAGAACUUUCAUGGACUCUUUCUUUGUUUGAGUUUGUUUAUUUUGGGGUUUUUUAUUGUGCGCUUGAGCACUCAGGAAGCCGGCUUAGGUAGGCAGGGAAUGUAUGUAAUUGUCUUUAAUUUUGUAUAAUACAUUUCUCAAACUUACCUGUUUUGUGUUAUCUGUUCUCUGCUGACCUUUUAAUAUUUCAGGCUCCAUAGUCGUACCUAGAGUUUCUGAUAUUAGCCCAAAUCCAAUUUAUAGCUAAUUCAAUUAGUUAUCGGUUACACUAACCUGAGAGCAGGGUUACAAGUGGCGAGCCAGCCAGGAGUCUGGUUAUAUGUUAGCAGUGAACCACAUUACAAGUGUGUGAAACGAUUUAACGAGCGAACGUGUGUAAGCUCUUUGUUAUCUGUUUAUAGAUCACUCUUUACUAAAGAUGGAGUUUAUAACGAGCUCAGGAAUCAAAGUCCCCAAUGCAGUAAUGGUGAGUGGUUUGCUUGAAUCACCAGAAGAUGAGGAGAUCAUAGACUUCCUUAGGAAGUAUGGCUCCACGAGACUUGUCCCAGUUACUGAUACUAACUCAGAGUUUUAUAAAAACCUGAUUGUUGAGUAUCAAGAUGCUGUUGCUAUUGAAG
Long non-coding RNA from Onychostoma macrolepis, 1038 nucleotides. RefSeq lists it as uncharacterized. NCBI's taxonomy places the organism in Eukaryota, Metazoa, Chordata, Actinopteri, Cypriniformes, Cyprinidae. The transcript has 3 exons. The record is from RefSeq and is a predicted model, not a curated record.